Molecule: ribosomal RNA, 465 nt
Filed under: uncultured bacterium
Lineage: Bacteria
Description: partial 16S ribosomal RNA
Rfam family: Bacterial small subunit ribosomal RNA
Source: RNAcentral
AAUGAACGUUGGCGGCGUGGAUUAGGCAUGCAAGUCGAGCGAGAACCCCGCAAGGGGGGACAGCGGCGAAAGGGACAGUAAUGUGUAGAUUAUCUGCCCUCAGGUCCGGGAUAGCUGCGGGAAACUGCAGGUAAUACCGGAUAACAUCUCCGGAUCAAAGGUGUGAUUCCGCCUGAGGAUGAGUCUGCAUCCUAUUAGCUAGUUGGUGGGGUAAUGGCCUACCAAGGCAUUGAUGGGUAGCAGGUGUGAGAGCACGACCUGCGUCAUUGGGACUGAGACACUGCCCAGACACCUACGGGUGGCUGCAGUCGAGAAUCGUCGGCAAUGGGCGCAAGCCUGACCGAGCGACGCCGCGUGUGGGAUGAAGGCCUUCGGGUUGUAAACCACUGUCAGAGGGGAUGAAAUGCAGGUGGGUGCUCCCAUCUGUUUGACAUAGCCUCAGAGGAAGGACGGGCUAAGUUCGUG